UAAGUAACGAUAAAGCGGGUGAAAAGCCCGCUCGCCGGAAGACCAAGGGUUCCUGUCCAACGUUAAUCGGGGCAGGGUGAGUCGACCCCUAAGGCGAGGCCGAAAGGCGUAGUCGAUGGGAAACGGGUUAAUAUUCCCGUACUUGGUGUUACUGCGAAGGGGGGACGGAGAAGGCUAUGUUGGCCGGGCGACGGUUGUCCCGGUUUAAGCGUGUAGGUGUGUGUUCCAGGUAAAUCCGGUUCACUUUAACACUGAGGCGUGACGACGAGGCACUACGGUGCUGAAGCAACAAAUGCCCUGCUUCCAGGAAAAGCCUCUAAGCAUCAGGUAACAUCAAAUCGUACCCCAAACCGACACAGGUGGUCAGGUAGAGAAUACCAAGGCGCUUGAGAGAACUCGGGUGAAGGAACUAGGCAAAAUGGUGCCGUAACUUCGGGAGAAGGCACGCUGACACGUAGGUGAAGUGAUUUACUCAUGGAGCUGAAGUCAGUCGAAGAUACCAGCUGGCUGCAACUGUUUAUUAAAAACACAGCACUGUGCAAACACGAAAGUGGACGUAUACGGUGUGACGCCUGCCCGGUGCCGGAAGGUUAAUUGAUGGGGUCAGCGCAAGCGAAGCUCCUGAUCGAAGCCCCGGUAAACGGCGGCCGUAACUAUAACGGUCCUAAGGUAGCGAAAUUCCUUGUCGGGUAAGUUCCGACCUGCACGAAUGGCGUAAUGAUGGCCAGGCUGUCUCCACCCGAGACUCAGUGAAAUUGAACUCGCUGUGAAGAUGCAGUGUACCCGCGGCAAGACGGAAAGACCCCGUGAACCUUUACUAUAGCUUGACACUGAACAUUGAGCCUUGAUGUGUAGGAUAGGUGGGAGGCUUUGAAGUGUGGACGCCAGUCUGCAUGGAGCCGACCUUGAAAUACCACCCUUUAAUGUUUGAUGUUCUAACGUGGACCCGUUACCCGGGUUGCGGACAGUGUCUGGUGGGUAGUUUGACUGGGGCGGUCUCCUCCUAAAGAGUAACGGAGGAGCACGAAGGUUGGCUAAUCCUGGUCGGACAUCAGGAGGUUAGUGCAAUGGCAUAAGCCAGCUUGACUGCGAGCGUGACGGCGCGAGCAGGUGCGAAAGCAGGUCAUAGUGAUCCGGUGGUUCUGAAUGGAAGGGCCAUCGCUCAACGGAUAAAAGGUACUCCGGGGAUAACAGGCUGAUACCGCCCAAGAGUUCAUAUCGACGGCGGUGUUUGGCACCUCGAUGUCGGCUCAUCACAUCCUGGGGCUGAAGUAGGUCCCAAGGGUAUGGCUGUUCGCCAUUUAAAGUGGUACGCGAGCUGGGUUUAGAACGUCGUGAGACAGUUCGGUCCCUAUCUGCCGUGGGCGCUGGAGAACUGAGGGGGGCUGCUCCUAGUACGAGAGGACCGGAGUGGACGCAUCACUGGUGUUCGGGUUGUCAUGCCAAUGGCACUGCCCGGUAGCUAAAUGCGGAAGAGAUAAGUGCUGAAAGCAUCUAAGCACGAAACUUGCCCCGAGAUGAGUUCUCCCUGAGACUUAGAGUCUCCUGAAGGAACGUUGAAGACGACGACGUUGAUAG
RNAcentral lists this ribosomal RNA (1578 nucleotides) under Salmonella enterica subsp. enterica serovar Enteritidis. RNAcentral describes it as "partial 23S ribosomal RNA". It matches the Rfam family "Bacterial large subunit ribosomal RNA", at positions 1303 to 2859 of the family's 2925-position model. Lineage: Bacteria; Pseudomonadati; Pseudomonadota; Gammaproteobacteria; Enterobacterales; Enterobacteriaceae. The record is from RNAcentral.